AAAAACAUAUUAAUAUUCACUUGUAUAAAUUCUGCAAUAAGGGUGGAAUGUUUCUACCGAGCUACCGUAAAUUGCUCGUGGCUAUAAGUGUCUACUAAACAUUU
Molecule: non-coding RNA, 104 nt
Filed under: Clostridium neonatale
Lineage: Bacteria; Bacillati; Bacillota; Clostridia; Eubacteriales; Clostridiaceae
Description: Purine
Rfam family: Purine riboswitch aptamer
About the family: Riboswitches are metabolite binding domains within certain messenger RNAs that serve as precision sensors for their corresponding targets. Allosteric rearrangement of mRNA structure is mediated by ligand binding, and this results in modulation of gene expression.
Source: RNAcentral